AUGAACAUACUGAUCAGUAGCCCUAGCAUUCAGUCCUGGCUUCUUGGCCACUUGAAUAGAGGAGACAGAUGUACAUACACAGGUAGACUGACCGACCAAUCGAUCACGCAAGGCGGUCUUGGCGGUGCGGCGUUGAGAUCGAUGGUCGAUCAUCGCCUCUUAGCGGUCGCGGCCGACGAGGGAGAGGAGGAAGGUCCGGUAGUUGCCGGAGGUCUCGGAGUGGAUGGCGUCGGCCAGCGAGCGCUUGUACUUCUUGUGGUACUCGGCCUUGAUGUACUGCAUGUCCACCUCCGCCCUGGUGACCACCACCCGUAUCAGCGUCGUGUCGCUUGUGCCCAGCCCCUUCAUCGCCUUGUGCAGCGCCUUGGCGAAGUACCUCGCCGGGCUCUCGGCGCACCGGAGGAUCGUCAGCAGCCCCAACUCGAAGGUGCCCGACGUCUCGCUCUUCACAGCCACCUUGUCCAGGGAGCGCGCGUAGAGGUGGUGGUAGGCGUCGGCGACGGCGGCGAGGUGCGCCCAGCUGCGCUCGGUGAAGACGCGGAUGAAGGCCCGCUCGUCGGUGCCCAGCCGCUUCUCGCCGGCGCGGUAGAGCUCCCUCGCGUCGCGCGCCGCCGCCGACGGGUCCACCUCCGGGCCCUCGUACCGCGGGAUGCCCAGAUGAGCGUAUGCGUAUCGAUGGUGCUGUGGAGGCAAACAAAGACGUACCUUCUGGUGGUCGCCGUAGGUGCGCUCGGUGACGUCCUGCUCGAGGUAGCAGCCGAAGCGGGCGCGGUAGGCCUGCUUCAUGAUCUGCAGCUGCGACGGCGUCCGGGAGCAGAUCACCUCCGUGGCGGCGCGCAGGUCGGCGAUGUCGCCGUUGAGGGACUGGUUCAGUAUCGUGGCGUCGCGGCCCACGGGGUCCAGCACCCACAGCAGCAUCGCCUUCUGCACAAGGAACCGGCACCCCCAAGCAGAGAGGUCAUUUCGGGAGCAAAUACAGUACUAUGCUAUGCUUCUUCUUUUUUCGAAAAGGGAUACUAUACUAUGCUAUGCUUCUUCUUUUUUCGAAAAGGGAUACUAUACUAUGCUAUGCUGUCUGUGUGA
Molecule: ribosomal RNA, 1083 nt
Filed under: Triticum aestivum (bread wheat)
Lineage: Eukaryota; Viridiplantae; Streptophyta; Magnoliopsida; Poales; Poaceae
Description: partial small subunit ribosomal RNA
Source: RNAcentral